This 253-nucleotide ribosomal RNA is filed under the name uncultured bacterium. RNAcentral describes it as "partial 16S ribosomal RNA". It matches the Rfam family "Bacterial small subunit ribosomal RNA", at positions 524 to 776 of the family's 1533-position model. The record is from RNAcentral.
UACGUAGGGUGCGAGCGUUAUUCGGAAUUACUGGGCGUAAAGCGUGCGCAGGCGGCUUUGCAAGACAGAUGUGAAAUCCCCGGGCUCAACCUGGGAACUGCGUUUGUGACUGCAAGGCUAGAGUACGGCAGAGGGGGAUGGAAUUCCGCGUGUAGCAGUGAAAUGCGUAGAUAUGCGGAGGAACACCAAUGGCGAAGGCAAUCCCCUGGGCCUGUACUGACGCUCAUGCACGAAAGCGUGGGGAGCAAACAGG